CCGUUGGUAGCUCAGUUGGCAGAGCGGUGGACUGUAGAUUCGAUUCACGAAAUAUGGCAUCGUGAAAAGCAAGUUAUCCAUAGGUCGCUGGUUCAAUUCCGGCCCGACGGA
This is a non-coding RNA of Daphnia pulex (common water flea), 111 nucleotides long. NCBI's taxonomy places the organism in Eukaryota, Metazoa, Arthropoda, Branchiopoda, Diplostraca, Daphniidae. The record is from Rfam.